Molecule: ribosomal RNA, 496 nt
Filed under: uncultured bacterium
Lineage: Bacteria
Description: partial 16S ribosomal RNA
Rfam family: Bacterial small subunit ribosomal RNA
Source: RNAcentral
AUGAACGCUGGCGGCGUGCCUAAUCCAUGCAAGUCGAGCGAACGGACGAGAAGCUUGCCUCUCUGAUGUUAGCGGCGGACGGGUGAGUAACACGUGGAUAACCUACCUAUAAGACUGGGAUAACUUCGGGAAACCGGAGCUAAUACCGGAUAAUAUUUUGAACCGCAUGGUUCAAAAGUGAAAGACGGUCUUGCUGUCACUUAUAGAUGGAUCCGCGCUGCAUUAGCUAGUUGGUAAGGUAACGGCUUACCAAGGCAACGAUGCAUAGCCGACCUGAGAGGGUGAUCGGCCACACUGGAACUGAGACACGGUCCAGACUCCUACGGGAGGCAGCAGUAGGGAAUCUUCCGCAAUGGGCGAAAGCCUGACGGAGCAACGCCGCGUGAGUGAUGAAGGUCUUCGGAUCGUAAAACUCUGUUAUUAGGGAAGAAAAUAUGUGUAAGUAACUGUGCACAUCUUGACGGUACCUAAUCAGAAAGCCACGGCUAACUACGUG